UAUUCCUGUACUAUGUGUACCCAGAACUGUGGGGACGCAUGUGGAGAGCAUGAGCCGGGAAAGAAAAGACCGGUACAAGCGGGGUAGGAGUAAGGACAGCAAAUCUUCCUUACAAUCCGAAGACGUGAUGUGGACCGAACCAAAGUAGGGAAGCAUGUGAGCCAUGUGCCAAGAAAAGCUGCUAUUGUGAUACACAUACCCGUACCGUAAACCGACACAGGUGGAUGAGGAGAGAAUCCUAAGGCCGACGGAAGAAGCAUUGUUAAGGAACUCGGCAAAAUGACCCCGUAACUUCGGGAGAAGGGGUGCCCUGUGAAAGCAGGGCCGCAGAGAAUAGGCUCAAGCAACUGUUUAGCAAAAACACAGGUCUAUGCGAAACCGAAAGGUGAGGUAUACGGGCUGACGCCUGCCCGGUGCUGGAAGGUUAAGAGGAGAAGUCAGGCAACGAAGCUUCGAAUUUAAGCCCCAGUAAACGGCGGCCGUAACGAUAACGGUCCUAAGGUAGCGAAAUUCCUUGUCGGGUAAGUUCCGACCCGCACGAAAGGCGUAAUGAUUUGAGCACUGUCUCGACAAUGCAUCCGGUGAAAUUGAAGUACCAGUGAAGAUGCUGGUUACCUGCGCCAGGACGGAAAGACCCCAUGGAGCUUUACUCCAGCUUGAUACUGGGAUUCGAUACUGUAUGUACAGGAUAGGUGGGAGACGUUGAGCAUAGAACGCCAGUUUUAUGUGAGUCGCUGUUGGGAUACCACCCUUGCAGUAUUGGAUUUCUAACCUGCACCCAUGACCUGGGUGGGGGACAAUGUCUGGCGGGGAGUUUGACUGGGGCGGUCGCCUCCGAAAGGGUAUCGGAGGCGCUCAAAGGUUCCCUCAGAAUGGUUGGAAACCAUUCGAAGAGUGCAAAGGCAGAAGGGAGCUUGACUGUGACACCGACGGGUGGAACAGGUACGAAAGUAGGACUUAGUGAUCCGGUGGUAUAAAGUGGGAUUGCCAUCGCUCAACGGAUAAAAGCUACCCUGGGAUAACAGGCUUAUCACUCCCAAGAGUUCACAUCGACGGAGUGGUUUGGCACCUCGAUGUCGGCUCAUCGCAUCCUGGGGCUGUAGCAGGUCCCAAGGGUUGGGCUGUUCGCCCAUUAAAGCGGUACGCGAGCUGGGUUCAGAACGUCGUGAGACAGUUCGGUCCCUAUCCGGCGCAGGCGGAGGAUAUUUGAGAGGAGCUGUCCUUAGUACGAGAGGACCGGGAUGGACGGACCACUGGUGUAUCUGUUGGCUAUCGGAGCCAUGGCAGAGUAGCCAAGUCCGGCAGGGAUAAACGCUGAAGGCAUCUAAGCGUGAAGCCCCCCUCAAGAUGAGAUAUCCCUCAGAAAUGAGUAAGACCCCUUGAAGACUACGAGGUAGAUAGGAAUGAGGUGUAAGCACAGCAAUGUAUUCAGCUGACAUUUACUAAUCGGUCGAGGGCUUGAAC
This 1464-nucleotide ribosomal RNA is filed under the name metagenome. RNAcentral's name for it is "bacterial LSU rRNA". It matches the Rfam family "Bacterial large subunit ribosomal RNA", at positions 1434 to 2925 of the family's 2925-position model. The record is from RNAcentral.